Paramormyrops kingsleyae is the source of this 1398-nucleotide non-coding RNA. The record is from RefSeq and is a predicted model, not a curated record. Lineage: Eukaryota; Metazoa; Chordata; Actinopteri; Osteoglossiformes; Mormyridae.
CCAAAACUCAAUUGGUCUGUGUGUUUCAUCAUUGAUAUCCACAGCACUGGCUCUUAACGAACGUAGUGUCUUCUGAUCAUUGGCCCAACUGUCAACGUUGAUUAUCACCUACCUGUACUCCACUAUCACGCUGUGAAGGUGAAAGGGGUUACAGAAUUGGCGAGCCAGCCAGGAGCCAGUUAGGUGAAUAUCAGUGCUGGAAUCACAUGUAUAAUGGAUUUUGUACAGAGGUGUGGUGUUAAAAUCCCAAAUGCUGUCAUUAUUAGUGGGGCCACCCAAGUAGUAGGUCAGGAUGGACAGAUCAUUGACUUCCUUAAGAAGUAUGGUUCUAUUAAGAAUACCUUUUCUGUUGACGAAGAAACGUCAGAAUUUCACCAAAACCUGAUCGUUGAGUACUCGUACGGCACAGCAGUAGAAGAUCUGAGGGCGAUCCUGCCAUAUAGGUACACAGUGCAGGAUGACCCAUGUAUUGUAUAUACUGUUAGGACACUAUGUAGUGUGUACCAAGCCGAAGUUGGCGCUAACAUUACCAAGAACUACCUAACUGAGCUUAAGACCUUAGCUAGGCUAAGCGGAAUAGAGUAUGAGCAGGUACUGAAGGGAAUGAUGUCCCAGAUUAGUGAGGAUAUUGAAGCUAUGAGCCCUGUGAUUGAAGAGGGUUCUCCCAUGCAUUCUGGGCUCACUAUUGGGACCCCGCAGAUUGUUGCCCCCGGUUCACUCUCAGAUGCUCUUCAGGGAAACAUUGGUCCUAAUGUCGCCAGCUCAGUUCCGAUCUUUAAUGAAGGGAGAGCUCCUUCGCUUUCAGUGAGUAGCAUGAAUCCCCAAGAAGUACAGAAGGUCGUGGUUGAGCAUAUUGUGAGGAGAGAAGAUGUUGUCCCACACUUGCCGUCUCAGGAAGAUCCUUGAGAGCUUACUCGCACCUGCAGCUGACGUAGUUAAGGGGCUACGGCCCGAUUCGUCCCCCUCAACCUACCUGCAGCUGCUUGAUUCAGCUUUUGGCACCGUGGAAGAUGGGGAGGAACUCUUUGCCCAGUUCUUGAAUACCCUCCAGGACCCGGGUGAGAGGCCGUCAACCUACCUUCAUCGACUGCAGGUAGCAAUAAGCCUGGCGGUAAAAAGGGGUGGGGUUGCACCAUUAUUAGUAGAUAAGCACCUUCUUAAACAGUUCUGUAGGGGGUGUUGGGAUAAUGCUCUGCUUUCCACCCUGCAACUCGAACAAAGGAAAAGCAGCCCGCCUCCAUCAAUCGUCCAUGAUUCACCCCAAAUGUUACUAAACUGCACGAACAUGUUAUUUAACGAUCCCCUGUAAAACCUAACUUUACCAUAAAUAACUUGGGCUCAUAAAAGAAGCCAGGAUGCUCAUCUGGGCCAUUAGAUCGGCAAGCAGGAUGCUUAUCU